This is a long non-coding RNA of Zalophus californianus (California sea lion), 633 nucleotides long. RefSeq lists it as uncharacterized. The transcript has 3 exons. The record is from RefSeq and is a predicted model, not a curated record. Lineage: Eukaryota; Metazoa; Chordata; Mammalia; Carnivora; Otariidae.
CCAUGCAGAGGGUGCAUUAUUACACCAUCCUCACAAGGAGGACCCACCACCGGCUAAUCACGGAGAGAUCUUGGCAAACGCAGACCCUGCUCCUGAGGCUGCUCUCACCGAGGGGACGUUCUCUGUCUACACGGGAGAGCUCUCCGGAGAGAAAAGACUCUGUUUUCAGGAUUACUAACCACCGGCAGUAAGAACCCAGAGCUGGGGGUCCUUGGGCUUUCUCUCUGGUCUUGGAAUUUCUGAGUCUGGGGCUGCCAGAGCUUGUCAUGGAGGGGUGCACCUGCCUCUUUAGGAGAAUCAUCAACCCUGAGAGAUGGUGAGACUGUGGGGCUGGCAUGUCCAACAUCUGCAGGUGGCUAGGGGGCUAGAGAUCCACCAAACUACGGACAUUGCCAUUUGAGCCCGAAAGCUGUCUGCUGGUGGAAUUCCCUCCUCUUUCGGAGAGGUUAGGGUUUUUUCUAUUGGAGCCUUCAACUGAUUAGAUGAGACCCACCCACAGGAUGGAAGUUUACAGAUCAGAAUGCCCAUAAUGCUUCUACUUCAGAGACAUGAGAACUCAUGCAGGCUCCAAAUGGCACCGGUGGAAGGAAGUGUGGCUUUGCCCCUGGGCUCUGGGCCCCCACUCAUGUGCCA